AGUCACUGACAUUAGAUACCCUGUAGUCCAGGGUGUAAACGCUGCAGACUUGGUGUUGGAAAUCCUUCGAGGGUAUUCAGUGCCGGAGAGAAGUUGUUAAGUCUGCUACUUGGGAGUACGUCCGCAAGGCUGAAACUUAAAGGAAUUGGCGGGGAGCACCACAACGGGUGGAGCCUGCGGUUUAAUUGGACUCAACGCCGGAAAUCUCACCGGAUAGGACAGACAAAUGAUAGUCGGGCUGAAGACUCUACUUGAUGAUCUG
RNAcentral lists this ribosomal RNA (262 nucleotides) under uncultured archaeon. RNAcentral's name for it is "partial 16S ribosomal RNA". It matches the Rfam family "Archaeal small subunit ribosomal RNA", at positions 718 to 982 of the family's 1478-position model. The record is from RNAcentral.